GACGAACGCUGGCGGCGUGCUUAACACAUGCAAGUCGAACGAUGAAGCCUUCGGGUGGAUUAGUGGCGAACGGGUGAGUAACACGUGGGUGAUCUGCCCUGCACUUUGGGAUAAGCCUGGGAAACUGGGUCUAAUACCGAAUAUGAUCAUGCUCUUCAUGGGGUGUGGUGGAAAGCUUUUGCGGUGUGGGAUGGGCCCGCGGCCUAUCAGCUUGUUGGUGGGGUAAUGGCCUACCAAGGCGACGACGGGUAGCCGGCCUGAGAGGGUGACCGGCCACACUGGGGCUGAGAUACGGCCCAGACUCCUACGGGAGGCAGCAGUGGGGAAUAUUGCACAAUGGGCGCAAGCCUGAUGCAGCGACGCCGCGUGAGGGAUGACGGCCUUCGGGUUGUAAACCUCUUUCAGCAGGGACGAAGCGAAAGUGACGGUACCUGCAGAAGAAGGACCGGCCAACUACGUGCCAGCCGCCGCCGUAA
This 476-nucleotide ribosomal RNA is filed under the name uncultured bacterium. Its description in RNAcentral is "partial 16S ribosomal RNA". It matches the Rfam family "Bacterial small subunit ribosomal RNA", at positions 28 to 523 of the family's 1533-position model. The record is from RNAcentral.